Molecule: ribosomal RNA, 116 nt
Filed under: Ailuropoda melanoleuca (giant panda)
Lineage: Eukaryota; Metazoa; Chordata; Mammalia; Carnivora; Ursidae
Source: RNAcentral
UUCUACGGCCAUACUAGCCUAAACACGCCUGAUCUCUUCUGAUCUUGUCUGAUCUCAGAAGCUAAGCAGAGUCGGGCCUGGUUAGUACUUGGAUGGGAGAAUGAGUGACAAAGGAU